UCCUUCCCCGAUUUCCUCACUCACGUUGUGAAAUCCCACGGAGAAGGGCGCGUCAACUUACACUGAUAUUACAAACAAGUUCCUUUGAAGUUGAAGAAACAAAUAUACGAUGUCUUCAAGUUUGACAUGAUGGUGUUUGACUAUCAGCUGCCUAAUGACUUCUGGGAUACCGUGUGAUCACGGCUCUCACACCUUAGGAGUAGGAUAGAAGAAGGGGA
This is a non-coding RNA of Penaeus vannamei (Pacific white shrimp), 218 nucleotides long. The record is from RefSeq and is a predicted model, not a curated record. Lineage: Eukaryota; Metazoa; Arthropoda; Malacostraca; Decapoda; Penaeidae.